CACUCCUACGGGAGGCAGCAGUGGGGAAUUUUGGACAAUGGGCGAAAGCCUGAUCCAGCAAUGCCGCGUGAGUGAAGAAGGCCUUCGGGUUGUAAAGCUCUUUUGUCAGGGAAGAAACGGUGAGAGCUAAUAUCUCUUGCUAAUGACGGUACCUGAAGAAUAAGCACCGGCUAACUACGUGCCAGCAGCCGCGGUAAUACGUAGGGUGCAAGCGUUAAUCGGAAUUACUGGGCGUAAAGCGUGCGCAGGCGGUUUUGUAAGUCUGAUGUGAAAUCCCCGGGCUCAACCUGGGAAUUGCAUUGGGGACUGCAAGGCUAGAAUCUGGCAGAGGGGGGUAGAAUUCCACGUGUAGCAGUGAAAUGCGUAGAUAUGUGGAGGAACACCGAUGGCGAAGGCAGCCCCCUGGGUCAAGAUUGACGCUCAUGCACGAAAGCGUGGGGAGCAAACAGGAUUAGAUACCCCUGUAGUCCCA
This 472-nucleotide ribosomal RNA is filed under the name uncultured organism. RNAcentral describes it as "partial 16S ribosomal RNA". It matches the Rfam family "Bacterial small subunit ribosomal RNA", at positions 334 to 797 of the family's 1533-position model. The record is from RNAcentral.